Molecule: ribosomal RNA, 311 nt
Filed under: uncultured bacterium
Lineage: Bacteria
Description: bacterial SSU rRNA
Rfam family: Bacterial small subunit ribosomal RNA
Source: RNAcentral
GCAAGGCCUUGCGUCGAUGGAGCGGCCGAUGCCGGAUUAGCUAGUUGGUGAGGUAAAGGCUCACCAAGGCGACGAUCCCGUAGCUGGUCUGAGAGGACGACCAGCCACACUGGGACUGAGACACGGCCCAGACUCCUACGGGAGGCAGCAGUGGGGAAUCUUGGACAAUGGGCGAAAGCCUGAUCCAGCAAUGCCGCGUGUGGGAAGAAGGCCUUCGGGUUGUAAACCACUUUUGGCGGGAAAGAAAUGGUCUGUGCUAAUACCACGGAUUGAUGACGGUACCCGCAGAAUAAGCACCGGCUAACUACGUG